UGGAGUGGUGCUCAGUGGUAGAGCACUUGCCUUUUAUGCUUGAAGCCCUGGGUUCAAUCCCUAGCACCACAA
Molecule: transfer RNA, 72 nt
Filed under: Fukomys damarensis (Damara mole-rat)
Lineage: Eukaryota; Metazoa; Chordata; Mammalia; Rodentia; Bathyergidae
Rfam family: tRNA
About the family: Transfer RNA (tRNA) molecules are approximately 80 nucleotides in length.
Source: Rfam by way of RNAcentral